RNAcentral lists this long non-coding RNA (1421 nucleotides) under Mus musculus (house mouse). Its description in RNAcentral is "RIKEN cDNA 1700095J07 gene (1700095J07Rik)". Lineage: Eukaryota; Metazoa; Chordata; Mammalia; Rodentia; Muridae. The record is from RNAcentral.
AAGCUUGUCAGGGGAGUUCUGGGAGAUGUAGUUCCUCUUUCUCCUGCCAUCGUGCAUUCCCUCCGCCCCCUCCCCCAACCUCCUCACACACUUCAUCGAUCAACUGCCAGUGUCGUUACCAUCAACAUAAACGACGGUAGUAAAUAAUGGCAGUAUGAUUACAUUCAUACUUUAUGUACCACCCUCUCAACAGUGCUGCAAAGGCUGUUUGGAUAUGGAGGAGGCCAAAGUGGCAAUUACUCAGACUGGCGUCCAAAUCUGGAAAUUCCCACACCAGCAUGUUCUCUCCACUCUGCUCCCUCUUCAGAGGGAAUUGGUUUGCAGGGAUUUAGACUACAGUAAGGCUUCCCCAGAGCUUGCAAACAGGGUUCAUUUACCCUCUAUGCAAACAAGGUCAACAACUCCGGAACUGCAGUAGAAGCAGCAAAGAACAGAAAUAAUUUGAUACUAACAUCCUCAUUCUACAGAAUUUGAGGAUCUUUGAACUCCUCCAUUCUGAACUGACCGUGACCUGCUGCAGUUGCUGCCACCAGCCCCUACCAUUUCUCCUCCCGGACAGUCCUCCCUCCCACAGUUCCCAGCAAGCAUCCUUAAGGCCGCCUUCCCCUGGACAUUCCGAAGUCCUCCAGGCUUAGAUUUAUUGUCUGGUGUUAACUAUAGUCUGUAUCAUUUAUAUAUUUGCCUUUCUCCUCUUUCUAUUUUGUGUAUUUCAGGGGUCAGCCCCUUCCCUGUCUCUUCUGAGGAAAACACUUAUUUUUCCUGCAUUGGAGAACAAGACCCUAUUACCUCUAUUCACAAGUGACUGGGCCAGAGCUGGACAGAGAACUAAUUCAGCCAUCCACAGACAACUGCCAGGAUAGCUGUUUCACACCAAGAUAAACUGAAUGUGAUGGCUAAUCCUGGUUGUUAGCUUGACACACCCAAGAGGGAGCCUCCAUUGAAGCCUGGCCACUAUCAGGCUGGCCUGUGGGCACUUCUACUGGGGUAUUUUUUUGAUUGCUGAUUGAUAUAGGAGAGUCCAGUCCACUGUGGGCCUGGGCUGUGUAAAAAAGGUAGUUUGAAGGCUGGUGAGAUGGCUCAGCAGUUAAGAACACUGACUGCUCUUCUGAAGGUCCUGGGUUCAAAUCCCAGCAACCACAUGGCAGCUCACAACCAUCCCUAAUGAGAUCUGAUGUCCUCUUCUGGUGUGUCAGAAGACAGCUACAGUGUACUUAUUUAUAAUAAUAAAUAAAUCUUUGGGCCGGAGCAAGCAGGGCUCCACCAGAGCCGGUGGGGUUGAUUAGAGCGAGCAGAGGUCCUAAAUUCAAUUCCCAACAACCACAUGAUGGCUCACAACUAUCUGUACAAACCACAUGAUGGCUCACAACCAUCUGUACAGCUACAGUGUACUCAUAUACAAAAAAAAAAAAUAAAUAAAUCAU